RNAcentral lists this non-coding RNA (48 nucleotides) under Spodoptera frugiperda (fall armyworm). Lineage: Eukaryota; Metazoa; Arthropoda; Insecta; Lepidoptera; Noctuidae. The record is from RNAcentral.
CACAGAGUGUAUCAAGCAACGGAUACGUUGCUUGAUACACUCUGUGCC